UACGUAGGGGCAAGCGUUAUCCGGAUUUACUGGGUGUAAAGGGAGCGUAGACGGAAGGUCAAGUCAGGUGUGAAAGGCAUGGGCUCAACCCAUGGACUGCACUUGAAACUGGUCAUCUUGAGUGUCGGAGGGGCAGGCGGAAUUCCUGGUGUAGCGGUGAAAUGCGUAGAUAUCAGGAAGAACACCGGUGGCGAAGGCGGCCUGCUGGACGAUUACUGACGUUGAGGCUCGAAGGCGUGGGGAGCAAACAGGAUUAGAUACCCUGGUA
This 268-nucleotide ribosomal RNA is filed under the name uncultured prokaryote. Its description in RNAcentral is "partial 16S ribosomal RNA". It matches the Rfam family "Bacterial small subunit ribosomal RNA", at positions 524 to 792 of the family's 1533-position model. The record is from RNAcentral.